This is a long non-coding RNA of Lycium barbarum (goji berry), 3575 nucleotides long. RefSeq lists it as uncharacterized. The record is from RefSeq and is a predicted model, not a curated record. The transcript has 3 exons. Lineage: Eukaryota; Viridiplantae; Streptophyta; Magnoliopsida; Solanales; Solanaceae.
CUCUAGACCACCACUACAAGAAAAAGGCUCUUCAGAGACCAAUAUUUAAGGACAAGUCAUGAAUCUAGUCCCUAAAAGUAUACUUAUAGAGACGAGUUUUUCUUCAGGUCAUAAUUCUUAAACUUUAUUGCGAAGGGACUAAAUCUUGUCACAAAAAUAAUAAAUAUCUGGCCCUUAUUUCUCCAAGUUGAGUAACCCCACACAAUUUUUCCUCAAUAACAUGAAAGAAAUGAAGAAAUAAAUAUACUCUGGAUUAAAUCUCUCUCAAAAUUACUUGUCUAUUCCUUAAAUCCCUAAUAACUAUAGGCACACCACUAUCUCAGAUUCAUCUAUAGGUCCCCACUAAUAAACCCUAAACCUUUAUCAUCUACAACAACAACAAUGAAGAACUUUCGUUGUGCCUCUCUCUAUAUUCGGAGCUUCCAUUCUACACUCUGUAAAACUUACCCUUUUCUAAUUGCUUAGACUUUUUUUCUGUGUGGUUCCUCUAUAAAUAUUCUAAAAAUAUUUUCCUAAAAUCAAAUGUGAUGUUAGCUGGUUUUGAUUUUGGAUGUGAUUGGGUUUCAAAGUCUAACGCUAUGGCACUGGUAAGUAGCUCAAGGCUUUUUUCAUAUCGUAAUUUUUCUGGUUUUAAGAAUAGAUCUGAGAUUUUGAUUUUUUGGUUAAUAGAUGAAUUGUGUUGGUUAUUGGUGUAAUAUUCUAUAUUUUUUGCUGGUUUCCUAGUAGUGGUAGACCAAAAUUAUAACAAUUCUUUGUGAACUGAACAACUAUUGUUUAUUCUACCCAAUUUUUUUUGGUUCCUCUAUGACAAUGGUUGGUAACCUUUUUGGAGUUCAUUUGAGGAAUAACCCUUUUUGAAAUUUCUAUUUGCUUCAAUGAUUUUAUGGGAACUUGAUGGACACUUAAAGAUUUGCAAGGUAAAUCUAGUUUGUUACGAGAGGGUCGUGGAUAAGUUGACGGACAAUGAGGAGGCCGAGCAGUUUUUUUGUGGCGUUCAUGGAUUUUGAGGAGAAGUGUAAGGAGACAAAGAGGGCUAGGUGCAUAUAUAAGUUUGUGUUCAAUCACAGAGUGAAACGGCGAGCCAAGGAUUUGUACAGGAAGUUUGUGGCGUUAGAAAAGUAGUAUGGUGAUAAGGAAGGUAUUGAGGAUGCUAUAGUUGGAAAAGGUUUGUUUCAAUAUGAGGAUGAAGUAAGAAAAAAUCCACGUAACUAUUAUAUGUGGUUUGAAUAUAUUUGGCUGGAAGAGAGCGUUGGAAAUAAAGAGAGGAUUAGAGAGGUUUAUGUGAGAGCCAUUGCUAAUGUUCCUCCUGCUGAAGAGAAGCAGUAUUGGCAGCGAUACAUUUUCUUGUGGUAAAUUUGACAACCUUUACUUCAAAUGUGAUAUUUGAAUUCUGUUUCAGAUACCUUAUUUUGUUUAUUGGAUGACUUUUCUCUUUUUAGCAUUAAUUAUGCAUUAUAUGAAGAUCUUGAUGCACAAGACAUAGAAAGGACCAGAGAUGUCUACCGGUAAGACAUCAUUGUCUCGAUUGAAAUAUCACUAUGUAGUUCAUUUAGUUGAUGAACUGUAUUAUUUAUCAUGCUUUAUGUUUAAUACUGUGGAGUGCCAAGUGUUGUGAUAGUAGGUCACUGGUAAUGGAAAACCUAAUCUAGCUUUACCAACAGUGCUUUCUUUUGUAUGUAUCUUAUCUCUUUGUUAAUUAGAAGGGCUAAAGGGGUUGUAUGGCAUGUGUCAAAAUUAUUCCAAUAUUCCCCUAUUAAUUGCAUGGUUUAGGUACUUAUCAAAAUCUUUUGCCUGGUUUAGGUAAUUAUGAGAUAAGAGUUGGAGUGCUGAGUCAAACUAUUAGAGCCAAGACUCCACCUUAUAAACAUAAUGAGUCGGUUCCUCAAUUGGUCAUUGAACUUGUAGAAAUAACCCACUAAAGUAACUUUUGAAUUUUUUCUGACAACAAGGUCAUCAAACUAUGCUCAUGUUUCCAAUAAGGUAAAAACGAACAGAAAGUUAAAUAUUUUAACGAUUGUUUGCAUCCUCAUCUUUUUAUGAUCCAUUUAGUGAGUCAGUUUUCCCAUCUGGUUUUGCCCCAAUAUUUACAACAUUGAAUGGUAACAUAUCAACUAUGAACUCAGAGAAAAAGAUGGAGAGAACUGAAAUUAUAAGAAUAGAAGAAAUGGAGUUCUCCAUUUUCAUGUUUCUUAAUGAGAUAUGAAAUGAUUAAUUAAAGACUAAAAAAGAGAAGAUUAGAGUUGAGAUGAUGAAUGUGGUUGAGCUGUUUCUGAGUUGAGAUAUAUUUAAAAUUGAGCUCUACAACUUGUUAUUAUUUAGUUUUAUACAUCAUAUAUGAGUGACUUUUAUGAAAUACAUGUGGAAUAAAAAGCAAGAAACUGUUUUUGUAGAGUAACUUACUUUCAAGAAUGAAAAUUUGAGAUAGUAGAGAAGCAUGGGCAUAUCUUGGUCACAUGUUAAAGACUUUAGCCACACACGAAAAAAAAACAGAUCAAAACAAUUAGUACUAACUAAGUAAAAGUUUUUGCAAGAAGCUGAAGGAAGCACUUCAAGCUUAUAUGGAUUUGAAGUCUUUCUGACAUAAAAUAUAUCAUUGACCUGAACUGUUUUUCAUUUUCUGUUCAUUAAACAUAAAAAUUACUAAAAACAAAGGAUUUUUUAGAUGAGAGAAACCAAAAGUUGGUUAUCAAAGAAUAAACAAGAACUUCUUCAAGAAAGAGAGAAGAAAAAAGUUCCAUAUCACAUAAAAUGGUUCUGUAACAUUUAUUCAGUUAAUUGAUGGGUCAAACGAAAAUGGAUCCUAAAAAGUUGAGGAUGUAAACUUUGGUAAAAUAUUUAACUUUCUGUUUGUUUUUACCUUAUUGGAAACAUGGCCAUAGUGUUAUGAUCUUAUUGUCAAAAAAAAUUCAAAAAUUGCUGUAAUAUGUUAUUUCUACAAGUUCAAUGACCAUUUGAGGACUUGGCUCAAAUAUAACUUAUCAGUAUGAAUUUUGUUCCAUUUAUUUGUCUUAUGUCCACAUUGUAUUUUCAUGAUCAAUUUUGAAGCAAUUACAUUCACGCUUUCACAGAUGAAUUGUGCUUUGGGAUAAUUUUCUUCAAGAAUAUGACAGCUGCAGAGCUGAUAGAGAAACAAAUGGCCGCUUAAAUCAUCUCGGUGAAGAAUGAAACAACAGCUUCUCCAGUAUUCUGGUGACUAUUAAAGAUUGUAUGCAAUAUCAAGGCUGAUUGGAGAUUUGACGACUUACUCAUAGUAGAUAUUGUGUUUGAGAUGGAUAUUUCAAUAAAAUCACUACAGAUUUUGGAAGCUGAAGUUACAAGUCAAUAUGAAGGUUUUGAAGGCAUACAAGUGGACUGUCAUUUUGCUAUGAAUAUUAUACUAGACUUAUACCAUAGUCUAGGGAUAGAUUUUAUUGCUUAGGGGUUGAGUAAAAAUUGUGACAAAUCAUUUUUUGUAAUUGAUUACUCUUUUUUAUGUAUAAAAGUAGGAUUAUCUUUAUAUCCUCUUUUUGUAUUCAUAUUUUUUAGUUGCAGGUACAAUAUACCUUGCAGAUUAAUUAUUGAUAAAGAGAAACUAG